Molecule: ribosomal RNA, 490 nt
Filed under: uncultured bacterium
Lineage: Bacteria
Description: partial 16S ribosomal RNA
Rfam family: Bacterial small subunit ribosomal RNA
Source: RNAcentral
AUUGAACGCUGGCGGCAGGCCUAACACAUGCAAGUCGAACGGUAACAGAAAGCAGCUUGCUGCUUUGCUGACGAGUGGCGGACGGGUGAGUAAUGUCAGGGAAACUGCCUGAUGGAGGGGGAUAACUACUGGAAACGGUAGCUAAUACCGCAUAACGUCGCAAGACCAAAGAGGGGGACCUUCGGGCCUCUUGCCAUCGGAUGUGCCCAGAUGGGAUUAGCUAGUAGGUGGGGUAAAGGCUCACCUAGGCGACGAUCCCUAGCUGGUCUGAGGGGAUGACCAGCCACACUGGAACUGAGACACGGUCCAGACUCCUACGGGAGGCAGCAGUGGGGAAUAUUGCACAAUGGGCGCAAGCCUGAUGCAGCCAUGCCGCGUGUAUGAAGAAGGCCUUCGGGUUGUAAAGUACUUUCAGCGGGGAGGAAGGGAGUAAAGUUAAUACCUUUGCUCAUUGACGUUACCCGCAGAAGAAGCACCGGCUAACUCCGUG